RNAcentral lists this ribosomal RNA (349 nucleotides) under Sosylus sp. CO666. Its description in RNAcentral is "partial 12S ribosomal RNA". The record is from RNAcentral. Lineage: Eukaryota; Metazoa; Arthropoda; Insecta; Coleoptera; Bothrideridae.
AGUAAAUGUAAAUAUAAAAACUAAAUUAGUAUUAGUUAUAAUCUUAAAAGUUAAAGAUUUUGGCGGUAUUUUAGUCUUUUCAGAGGAAUCUGUCCUGUAAUUGAUAAUCCACGAUUAAUUAAACUUUUAUUAUUAAUUUGUAUAUCAUCGUAAAUGAAUAUUUUAAAAGAAUUAAUAUUCAAAAUUUAUAAUUAUAAUAAAAAUCAGAUCAAGGUGCAGUUUAUAUAAAAGAAGAGAUGGAUUACAAUAAAAUAAUUUAAAUGAAUAUUUAAAUGAAAUUUUAAAUUGAAAGUGGAUUUGAGAGUAAUUUUAUUAAUUUAAUUAAAAUGAUUUUAGCUCUAAAAUAUGC